GACGAACGCUGGCGGCGUGCUUAACACAUGCAAGUCGAGCGGUAAGGCCCCUUCGGGGGUACACGAGCGGCGAACGGGUGAGUAACACGUGAGCAAUCUGCCCUUCACUUUGGGAUAACUCUGGGAAACGAGAGCUAAUACCGAAUACGACCACUUCAGGCAUCUGAUGGUGGUGGAAAGUUCCGGCGGUGAAGGAUGAGCUCGCGGCCUAUCAGCUAGUUGGUGGAGUAACGGCCCACCAAGGCUUCGACGGGUAGCCGGCCUGAGAGGGUGACCGGCCACACUGGGACUGAGACACGGCCCAGACUCCUACGGGAGGCAGCAGUGGGGAAUAUUGGACAAUGGGCGAAAGCCUGAUCCAGCAACGCCGCGUGAAGGAUGACGGCCUUCGGGUUGUAACCUACUUUCAGUAGGGACGAAGCGCAAGUGACGGUACCGUACAGAAGAAG
This 449-nucleotide ribosomal RNA is filed under the name uncultured bacterium. Its description in RNAcentral is "bacterial SSU rRNA". It matches the Rfam family "Bacterial small subunit ribosomal RNA", at positions 28 to 490 of the family's 1533-position model. The record is from RNAcentral.